Molecule: ribosomal RNA, 200 nt
Filed under: uncultured bacterium
Lineage: Bacteria
Description: partial 16S ribosomal RNA
Rfam family: Bacterial small subunit ribosomal RNA
Source: RNAcentral
AGAGUUUGAUCAUGGCUCAGAACGAACGCUGGCGGCAUGCCUAACACAUGCAAGUCGAACGCUUUUGGGGUUUCGGCCUCAAAGGAGUGGCGCACGGGUGAGUAGCGCGUGGGAACCUGUCCUUUUGUGGGGGAUAACCGAGGGAAACUUCGGCUAAUACCGCAUGCGCCCCGGGAGACCGGGGGAAAGAUUUAUCGCAG